RNAcentral lists this transfer RNA (73 nucleotides) under Actinomycetota bacterium. RNAcentral describes it as "tRNA-Thr". It matches the Rfam family "tRNA". Rfam says of the family: Transfer RNA (tRNA) molecules are approximately 80 nucleotides in length. Their secondary structure includes four short double-helical elements and three loops (D, anti-codon, and T loops). The record is from RNAcentral. Lineage: Bacteria; Bacillati; Actinomycetota.
GCCCUCUUAGCUCAGUUGGUAGAGCACCUCCAUGGUAAGGAGGGGGUCGACGGUUCGAGUCCGUCAGCGGGCU